GAUGAACGCUGGCGGCGUGCCUAAUACAUGCAAGUCGAGCGAACGGACGAGAAGCUUGCUUCUCUGGUGUUAGCGGCGGACGGGUGAGUAACACGUGGAUAACCUACCUAUAAGACUGGGAUAACUUCGGGAAACCGGAGCUAAUACCGGAUAGUAUUUUGAACCGCAUGGUUCAAAAGUGAAAGACGGUCUUGCUGUCACUUAUAGAUGGAUCCGCGCUGCAUUAGCUAGUUGGUAAGGUAACGGCUUACCAAGGCAACGAUGCAUAGCCGACCUGAGAGGGUGAUCGGCCACACUGGAACUGAGACACGGUCCAGACUCCUACGGGAGGCAGCAGUAGGGAAUCUUCCGCAAUGGGCGAAAGCCUGACGGAGCAACGCCGCGUGAGUGAUGAAGGUCUUCGGAUCGUAAAACUCUGUUAUUAGGGAAGAACAUAUGUGUAAGUAACUGUGCACAUCUUGACGGUACCUAAUCAGAAAGCCACGGCUAACUACGUG
This 497-nucleotide ribosomal RNA is filed under the name uncultured bacterium. Its description in RNAcentral is "partial 16S ribosomal RNA". It matches the Rfam family "Bacterial small subunit ribosomal RNA", at positions 28 to 507 of the family's 1533-position model. The record is from RNAcentral.